This 2080-nucleotide long non-coding RNA is filed under the name Calidris pugnax (ruff). Its description in RNAcentral is "lncRNA (ENSCPUG00000001547.1)". The record is from RNAcentral. Lineage: Eukaryota; Metazoa; Chordata; Aves; Charadriiformes; Scolopacidae.
GGGUUUAAUAUUUUUCCUAGAACUUUUUUUUUUUUUUUUUUUUUUUUUUUAGAAAAAACCCCCCCCCCCCACAAAAAAAAAAAAAAAAAAAAAAAAAAGAGAAAAUCUACAUUUGAGGCUUAAAGUCAGGGCUGCAAGCCAAUCUUUAAAGCUCAAUCCCCACCUGUAAAAUGGAGGAAAAAGUACUUCAAAUUACAGUAAUGUUAGUGACAGCAAAGGGCCCAGAAAUUAUGGUGCUGAAAGCCAAAUAAUUAUCUCGGUACAGAGGCCAAAAUUUCUAAUAUUUCAGACAUUUUUAACAUAUUUUUUGAAUUUUAGGCAGUGAUUCAGAAGACAUCGCAGCCUAUGAUUCUUAUGAUUCACAACGUGAGGAACUUGUGAAUGGUGAGACUGAAAGUUACAAAACAUUCAAUACAAGAUUACGUGGAGAGAUAAAAGGUACAAUGAUUGCAAAAAUAUUAACAUCUACAUAAAAAUAUUCUUCUUUAUAGUGUUUGUUUUUCUAAACAACACGUCUUUGUUUUCAGGACUUAGAUGCAGAUGUCCUAGAGGAAGCAGAGAUCAAUUUAAACUCAGGAAUUACAAAGAGCCUGUUCAGUCUUGUGCUCUACAUAGAAAUAAACAUUCUGGUUCAACCUCUUAUUCACAGAAGAGAAUCGCCAUUCAAAAGGCUCAAACAAAUAAGCAGCCACGUGAACUUGUAAACAGACUUUCUGAAAGGCAAAACUUUGAGGCUGCCAAAACCUGCUAUUCAAGCACCCAUGAUAAUUUUAUCCUUUCACAUCAAUACUUACCCAGCAAGAAGUGUGCCCGAAGCAAAUCUGCCAUCAGCAUCAGACACAGAAAUGCCAACGAUUCCAAUGCAAAUGUAAGACUUAAGAGUGAAAAAUUAAAAGCCACACAACUAUCUCGGGAGUGUACGUCUGCACAUCAUGGCACUGUUGAACAUCCCCAUUCUUGGCAAGUUGAUUAUUACGAUCUAAGCACACUGGUCCAUUUGAGGAUAAGACAGGACAAAGUUAAAAAAACAAGUGUUUUAGCUUAUAAUAUUAGUAUAUUAAUUUAUAUGAGUACGUUAAAGACUUUUUAUGCAACUUAGUAGCAAGUUGAUUAUUACAAUCUAAGCACACUAGUCCAUUUGAGGAUAAGACAGGAGGAAGUUAAAAAAACAAGUGUUUUAGCUUAUAAUAUUAGUAUAUUAUUUCAUAGUACGUUAAAGACUUUUUAUGCAACUUAGUCCCUGUAUAAAUGGUGAAAGGGACAGAGAAGGAGCCCUGGAUCUUAACUCUGGAAUUAUGUUUCACAUACUGAAACAAAGAAUGUCACCCUAGCCACACAAACCACUAUCGUAUCCAAAAGAAAGCCUCCUCAAUACAACAAACAUACAUCACACUGGAGCUGCUACUUUAGAAAGGUGUAAAUAUCCCUCAGUUCACAGGAUUACAAAAUUAAAGAGAGAAAUAGGUAAGAUUCUUCCAACUUGAAUCCUGGAACAGUAAAUCACAUGGCUCAGAAUUUUUACUUCUCAACGUGUAUUCAGAGUGAAAAUGCUACAUAAAACAUUAAUUAAACAUCCCUUUCUAUUCUAUACCUCUGUGAACAUUUGCCUUCAGUAUUAACAAGGCUAUAUUUUAUUAUUCCCAACAGAUUUUAAGUUCUACUCUGGAUCAUGCCCUACACACAGCGAACAUUUUGAAGAAAGCUACAGAACGAAUGGUACGAGCAGUUUCAGAAGAUCUAGCUAAAGUUAAAAGGAAACAGCUUUAAUUACCCAGUUUCAAAGGUUAUAUUGUUUUGUUGGUUGAUACUGAAGUGUCAUUAUUUCUGAAAAUAUGAAAUGAGAAAAAAAUAUUAGAAAGUCAGCUAGCUGACUUUGCCAGUUCUUCUGUAACUAUCAAUACUAAUCUCAACCAGAGCAUACUGGUAUUCCACAUGUUUACGCUCAGUCUCAGAACUAGAAAGCAAGUUACUAGUUCCACUGAAGGUCUUUAGUAUGUUCUCUAACCCCUGUUAGUGUGUACAACUACCUUCUCUAAGUAUUCACUGAAGAUGCCUUAAUAAAAAUCAGUUUAAACAAGCA